CCUACGGGAGGCAGCAGUAGGGAAUAUUGCUCAAUGGGGGAAACCCUGAAGCAGCAACGCCGCGUGGAGGAUGAAGGUUUUCGGAUUGUAAACUCCUUUUGUUAGAGAAGAUAAUGACGUUAUCUACAGAAUAAGCAACGGCUAACUCCGUGCCAGCAGCCACGGUAAUAAGGAGGGUGAAAGCGUUACUCGGAAUCACUGGGCGUAAAGAGGGAGGAGGAGGGAUAGCAAGUCAGAUGUGAAAUCCUAUGGAUUAACCAUAGAUCUGCAUUUGAAACUGUUAUUCUAGAGUAUGGGAGAGGUAGGUGGAAUGCUUGGUGUAGGGGUAAAAUCCGUAGAGAUCAAGAGGAAUACUCAUUGCGAAGGCGACCUGCUAGAACAUAACUGACGCUGAUGCGCGAAAGCGUGGGGAGCAAACAGGAUUAGAUACCCUUGUAGUC
Molecule: ribosomal RNA, 440 nt
Filed under: uncultured bacterium
Lineage: Bacteria
Description: partial 16S ribosomal RNA
Rfam family: Bacterial small subunit ribosomal RNA
Source: RNAcentral